Molecule: ribosomal RNA, 407 nt
Filed under: uncultured bacterium
Lineage: Bacteria
Description: partial 16S ribosomal RNA
Rfam family: Bacterial small subunit ribosomal RNA
Source: RNAcentral
GACGAACGCUGGCGGCGUGCCUAAUACAUGCAAGUAGAACGCAGUUGCGAACGGGUGAGUAACGCGUAGGUAACUGCCUCAUAGCGGGGGAAAACUAUGGGAAACGAUAGCAAAUCCGGCAUACUGAGAGAUGGACCUGCGAUGUAUUAGCUAGGUGGGGGGGUAAAGGACUACCAAGGCGACGAUACAUAGCCGACUUGAGAGGGGUGUCGGCCACCCUGGGACGUAGGCACGGCCCAGAAUCCUUCGGGAGUGAGCAGUAGGGAAUCUUCGGGAAUGGACGGAAGUCUGACCGAGGAACGCCGCGGUGGUGAAGAAGGUUUUCGGAUAGUAAAGCUGUGUUGUUAGAGGAGCGGUAACUAAACAGAAAGGGACGGCUAACUACGUGCCAGCAGCCGCGGUAAUAC